GAUGAAGAACGGAGCGAAAUGCGAUAAGUAAUGUGAAUUGCAGAAUUCAGUGAAUCAUCGAAUCUUUGAACGCACAUUGCGCCCCCUGGUAUUCCGGGGGGCAUGCCUGUCCGAGCGUCAUUACAACCCUCAAGCUCAGCUUGGUGUUGGGCCCCGCCGCCCCGGCGGGCCCUAAAGUCAGUGGCGGUGCCGUCCGGCUCCGAGCGUAGUAAUUCUUCUCGCUCUGGAGGUCCGGUCGUGUGCUCGCCAGCAACCCCCAAUUUUUUUCAGGUUGACCUCGGAUCAGGAAGGGAUACCCGCUGAACUUAAGCAUAUCAAUAAGCGGAGGA
This 329-nucleotide unclassified non-coding RNA is filed under the name soil metagenome. RNAcentral's name for it is "partial contains 5.8S ribosomal RNA, internal transcribed spacer 2, and large subunit ribosomal RNA". The stretch from base 1 to 120 matches the Rfam family "5.8S ribosomal RNA", at positions 35 to 154 of the family's 154-position model. The record is from RNAcentral.